This is a long non-coding RNA of Mya arenaria, 864 nucleotides long. RefSeq lists it as uncharacterized. The transcript is spliced from 3 exons. Lineage: Eukaryota; Metazoa; Mollusca; Bivalvia; Myida; Myidae. The record is from RefSeq and is a predicted model, not a curated record.
UCGGGCGUAUUCGGCCUGUACCGGAUGUUGCUAUUUUUAGAAACAGAAGGUAUUUCCCGGCUAUUCAUAGGUCAAUAAUGGAAUUUCUACAUCGUAGGAUUUGGAAACAUUGUGAUGUUUUUCUCAUGAAUAUAAGUUUAAAAUAAAUAAACAUUAAAAGUACACGCUGACAGUUGAUUACGAUACAUCUAACAAUUUGAGUCAUUACAGUAAAACAUGGAUUAUAAGUGAAAUAUACGCGUAAGAGAAGAUUUUCUCUCGAAAAAACGAACUGUCAACAAUCGGCAUGGAACUGGGAUAUUCAGAUAUUCGUAUCAAAGGGCUCUGAAUGCAGGAAAAUGACUGAAUAUUACUUAGUCAACAACACUGGGUUAUGAAGAAUUCCAGCCUGCAUUAAAUACUAUGUUUGUUCCUUGAGAGCGGAUUUGACAGCCAUGUCCAUCCACAAGGCAGUCGCAUCUGAUCGAGAUAAUCACUAAACAUUCUUGAUGGGUAAAGUACCUGAAGGUGCAUGAAAACCAAAUCAGCAUUGACUCAGCAUUGAGUAGUUAUCAUCUGUGCACACACUACAAGUACAAAGCAUGGGAACAGAGCAAACUUCAACUGUUGAAGAGUGAAGAAUUAUUGUGAAAAAAACUAAAUGUUAGAAUACCAAUGACAAAAUAAAACAGAUAGACAUCAAAUUACCUACAGAGAUUGUUUACAUGUUAUAAUAUUAAAAAAAAUUAGUUGAGAACUUUCACUCUGAUAUUUUUGGAGGGGCGAGCCCACUUAGUGUUCUUGUUUCUUCACAUAUUUUAGUUUAAAAGUACACUCAUUUGUUUUAAACUCUGUAUUCUGAGUGAGUAUCAUAAGUAAAAUUCA